UACGUAGGGCGCAAGCGUUGUCCGGAAUUACUGGGCGUAAAGAGCUCGUAGGUGGUUUGUCGCGUUGUUCGUGAAAACUCACAGCUUAACUGUGGGCGUGCGGGCGAUACGGGCAGACUAGAGUACUGCAGGGGAGACUGGAAUUCCUGGUGUAGCGGUGGAAUGCGCAGAUAUCAGGAGGAACACCGGUGGCGAAGGCGGGUCUCUGGGCAGUAACUGACGUGGAGGAGCGAAAGCGUGGGGAGCAACAGG
RNAcentral lists this ribosomal RNA (252 nucleotides) under uncultured bacterium. RNAcentral's name for it is "partial 16S ribosomal RNA". It matches the Rfam family "Bacterial small subunit ribosomal RNA", at positions 524 to 775 of the family's 1533-position model. The record is from RNAcentral.